GUGGGGAAUUUUGGACAAUGGGCGCAAGCCUGAUCCAGCAAUGCCGCGUGAGUGAAGAAGGCCUUCGGGUUGUAAAGCUCUUUUACCAGGAAAGAAACCAAGGCUGUUAACACCAGUCUAGAUGACGGUACCUGGAGAAUAAGCACCGGCUAACUUCGUGCCAGCAGCCGCGGUAAUACGAAGGGUGCAAGCGUUGUUCGGAAUGACUGGGCGUAAAGGGCGCGUAGGCGGAUUGUUAAGUUAGAUGUGAAAUCCCCAGGCUUAACCUGGGAACUGCAUUUAAUACUGACAGUCUAGAGUUCGGUAGAGGGAAAUGGAAUUCCUAGUGUAGAGGUGAAAUUCGUAGAUAUUAGGAGGAACAUCAGUGGCGAAGGCGAUUUUCUGGGCCGAUACUGACGCUGAGGCGCGAAAGCGUGGGGAGCAAACAGGAUUAGAUACCCGGGUAGUCC
RNAcentral lists this ribosomal RNA (449 nucleotides) under uncultured bacterium. RNAcentral describes it as "bacterial SSU rRNA". It matches the Rfam family "Bacterial small subunit ribosomal RNA", at positions 354 to 796 of the family's 1533-position model. The record is from RNAcentral.